This 302-nucleotide ribosomal RNA is filed under the name uncultured bacterium. Its description in RNAcentral is "partial 16S ribosomal RNA". It matches the Rfam family "Bacterial small subunit ribosomal RNA", at positions 508 to 807 of the family's 1533-position model. The record is from RNAcentral.
GCAGUCGCCGCGGUAAUACGAAGGGUGCAAGCGUUAAUCGGAAUUACUGGGCGUAAAGCGUGCGUAGGCGGUGAGUUAAGUCUGCUGUGAAAUCCCCGGGCUCAACCUGGGAAUGGCAGUGGAUACUGGCUCGCUAGAGUGUGUCAGAGGAUGGUGGAAUUCCCGGUGUAGCGGUGAAACGCGUAGAGAUCGGGAGGAACAUCAGUGGCGAAGGCGGCCAUCUGGGACAACACUGACGCUGAGGCACGAAAGCGUGGGGAGCAAACAGGAUUAGAUACCCCCGUAGUCCCUGUCUCUUAUAC